AAUAGUUUUGUAAUUGGAAUGAGUUAAGUAUAAACCCCUUUACAAGUAUCAAUUGGAGGGCAAGUCUGGUGCCAGCAGCCGCGGUAAUUCCAGCUCCAAUAGCGUAUAUUAAAGUUGUUGCAGUUAAAAAGCUCGUAGUUGGAUUUCUGUUAAUAAUUUAUAUAUAAUAUUUUAUUAAUAUUUAUAUAGUAUUAACAUAAUUCAUAUUACUAUAUUUUAUAGUAUAUGAAAUUUUACUUUGAGAAAAUUAGAGUGCUUAAAGCAGGCAUUACCCUUGAAUACUCCAGCAUGGAAUAAUAUAAAAGAUUUUUAUCUUUUUUAUUGGUUCUAAGAUAAAAAUAAUGAUUAAUAGGGACAGUUGGGGGCAUUUGUAUUUAACAGACAGAGGUGAAUUUCUUAAAUUUGUUAAACACAAUCAAGGGCGAAAUUAUUGGCCAAGGAUGUUUUCAUUAAUCAAAAAAGAAAGUUGGGGGACCAAAGACAAACAAAUACCGCCAUACUCUUACCCAUAACCUAUGCAAACUAUAGAGUGGAUGUUGUUCCU
Molecule: ribosomal RNA, 544 nt
Filed under: Cryptosporidium ubiquitum
Lineage: Eukaryota; Apicomplexa; Conoidasida; Eucoccidiorida; Cryptosporidiidae
Description: SSU rRNA
Rfam family: Eukaryotic small subunit ribosomal RNA
Source: RNAcentral